UUUUCACUUCCCACUCCUUUCUUCACUCCCACACACUCUCCUCCUCCCCUCCCCACGAAAUAUUGCUCCCCCAAGGCUUCAUGGCCGGCCAUGGCCAUGGAAAGAGCUCCAAGAUGAAGUCCCCUCCUCCCUCAAGCUCCUCCUCACCAUGAGAGCCUCCCUCUCCUUCUUCUCCCCAACCCUAGAUGGUUUUCUCUCCUCUUCUUCUUCCUCCCUUGCUAAGAUUGGAUCUUGAUGCAGGUGCAUGUUGGUCCAAGCAUGGAGAAGCUUGAGCUAUCCUCAGAUCUGAAGUUCUUGAGCAAAAUCCAAAUCGAGUGAUUCAAAGUUCCACAGAUAGGUAUUCAACAGAUCUACAACCUGGCAUUGGUCUCAUCCUCAAAUUCGCUACAGAUUCUCCCUGGGGAUACUUAGUUGUGCCAUGGUGAUACCUAGAGAGGCAAUUGUUAAGUCGUGGCACUCUCAUACCUUUACUAGAUGCGAACAAUCUCGGAGGAGAAGAAGAAGAAGUGGAAUCGGACAAGGAUUUUAUUUGUACUGUGGGAAUUCUUAUUUGAUGGAGUUGAAGAAGUCCAGGGACAAAUAAGCCAAG
Molecule: non-coding RNA, 589 nt
Organism: Lolium perenne
Lineage: Eukaryota; Viridiplantae; Streptophyta; Magnoliopsida; Poales; Poaceae
Source: RefSeq, a predicted model, not a curated record